UACAGAGGAGCCAAGCGUUGUUCGGAAUCACUGGGCGUAAAGGGUGCGUAGGCCGCACGGUAAGUCAGAUGUGAAAGCCCGGAGCUCAACUCCGGAACUGCAUCCGAUACUGCCGUGCUUGAGGACUGGAGAGGAGUCUGGAAUUCACAGUGGAGCAGUGAAAUGCGUAGAUAUUGGGUGGAACACCGGUGGCGAAAGCGGCUCUCUGGUCCGGUCCUGACGCUGAGGCGCGAAAGCGUGGGGAGCAAACAGG
Molecule: ribosomal RNA, 253 nt
Filed under: uncultured bacterium
Lineage: Bacteria
Description: partial 16S ribosomal RNA
Rfam family: Bacterial small subunit ribosomal RNA
Source: RNAcentral